This 1895-nucleotide long non-coding RNA is filed under the name Linum usitatissimum (flax). Its description in RNAcentral is "long non-coding RNA (LUSI_LNC004781)". Lineage: Eukaryota; Viridiplantae; Streptophyta; Magnoliopsida; Malpighiales; Linaceae. The record is from RNAcentral.
CUCUUUUUCUUUCUCUCUUCUUCACCCCCUUUCUGCCCCGAUUCUGACGUUCACAGUGGCGGCGGCCGUGGCGUCGCCGCCGGCUCUCCCUCAACAGUGACAACGAAAAAAGGUAAACAGAAACUUAGAUCUAGUUUCAACUUUUAUUUCUUUUUCGAUUUAACCAGAUCCAAGCUUGCAUGUCAUCGAAGCAUACCUCUUGUGACAUGCGAGCCCCGAUCUGUAUAUUUGGGGUUUGGUUUUUUGCUUAUAUGGUCUUUCUUUGACUUUUUAUUGCUUUUAUUUUGAUUUAAGUUUUCAAUGGAGUCAGGGAUCGGUGGGGAGGAAGAAGAAGAGAGGAAAAAGGUUUCACCGUCGACGGUGCGGCCGGCAACGGAAGAGGAAACAGACACCAAGAGGAAAUCGAGGUAGAAAGGAAAACCACGGUUCAGUUUCUUAAUCGAUUUGUCUAACAAAUGAAAAAACUGAUUUCCUAGAUUUAUUUCUGGUAAAACGUUUCAAGUCAGUCGGGAAAUCGGAAGGAAAGGGACUGAAUCAGAGGAGGUAAAAAAUGUGACACUGAAACUGUUAUUUCGAAAUGAGAUGUUAUAAUUUUUCUAGGUGUUAACUUGCAUUCGACCAUUUUGAUAUUGAAACAAACCCGACCAAUUUAACACCAUUAAAAUGACGGAAGGAUUUAAAAAAAUAGUUUUUUUAAUGAAAUUCUAGCAACUUGUUUUAACUAAGAACUCAUGUUUUUGCUUGAUUUUGAUGUCACAUUCCUCGUCUUUGUGUGAUUUUUGAAUUCUUGCUUCUAAUGCGGUUAAAUGAGUAAGAUUUGAUCUUCUUAGUCCAUUAUCUACAUAUUUUCAGCAACCUUUUCUUAAGCAAAGAAGCUUCAUUUUCUUACUUUUAACUUUGUAAGUUCAUCACUUGCUAAGGUUGGUUGUUUAGUUGAAGGUUGUAGUGAAUAUUAUAUUAGAGGCUGGGGUAAAUGNNNNNNNNNNNNNNNNNNNNNNNNNNNNNNNNNNNNNNNNNNNNNNNNNNNNNNNNNNNGGUAGUAGAAUACACUAGUAUAAUAAGCAUAUUGACAUGUAUUGAAACAGGAUAUGAAUGAUAUGUGAAUGAUUGAGAGUUUAGGAAGAAGUUCGGUUGUUUGGAAAUAUCGACCUUCUUUUGAAGGAAGAAAUUUGAUUUCUUUGCUCUUCUUCCUUGACAGUGUAGACACGAUCUCCUAGCCGUUUACUGCAAGAGUUUGGAACUUCGAAAGUUUUGACGAUGGAUUCUCGAAGCACUUACUAGAAGCAGUUAUGUUUGUAUUUCUAGGUUUUAUUUCGUAGUGGGAUUGGGGUGUAAUGGAUUUGGGAUGUAGUGGGAUUGCUUGUGGUGGGAUCGGGGUGUAGAGUUUUUUUCGUUUUAAUCGGUAGGUCCUUUUUUCAUUCUAUCCCCCCUUUCUAAAAAAAUUUGGUGGUCCUUUUAAACGAAAACAAGGGCCGCCAACUCCCAUGUCUUCCAACCGGAUUUCGACAUCCAUUACUGACACAAAAGGGAGGUGGCGGCUCCCUAGCGAAUAACAGAAACAGGCCCAAAAUUGGGCCUGAACUCGGGCCCGAAAAUUCGAUGUAGAAUAGAGCUACGAAAUAAAUAAAAAACUUAAGAACCCGGACAAAUUUUGGUUACUAAAGCAACAAAAUGAGAAAAUUACAAAAAAAAAUUACUAAUAUCUUAAAAACUUUUUUGUACGUUUGACAACUAUUUUAUUCGGGCUUGGAUAGUUAAUAUAUGUCUUCACCCGUUAUAAUUUUGGAUUUGUUAUGAAGAUAAUUGUAGUGAAUGCCCAAUUGUGUAACUCCUUAUUCUAUGGUUAAUGUAUUUUAUUCCCCUCCUUUAUGUGUAUGAUUUAAUGUAUUUCAUUC